This 73-nucleotide transfer RNA is filed under the name Stegodyphus mimosarum. It matches the Rfam family "tRNA". Rfam says of the family: Transfer RNA (tRNA) molecules are approximately 80 nucleotides in length. Their secondary structure includes four short double-helical elements and three loops (D, anti-codon, and T loops). Lineage: Eukaryota; Metazoa; Arthropoda; Arachnida; Araneae; Eresidae. The record is from Rfam by way of RNAcentral.
GCCUUCGUGGUGUAGUGGUCAGCACGCUCGACGCGUAACCGAGAGGUCAGUGGUUCGAUUCCCGGCGAAGACG